This 402-nucleotide ribosomal RNA is filed under the name uncultured bacterium. Its description in RNAcentral is "bacterial SSU rRNA". It matches the Rfam family "Bacterial small subunit ribosomal RNA", at positions 355 to 774 of the family's 1533-position model. The record is from RNAcentral.
UCGGGAAUUUUGGGCAAUGGGCGAAAGCCUGACCCAGCAACGCCGCGUGAGGGAUGAAGUAUUUCGGUAUGUAAACCUCGAAAGAAUGGGAAGAAUAAAUGACGGUACCAUUUAUAAGCUCCGGCUAACUACGUGCCAGCAGCCGCGGUAAUACGUAGGUGGCGAGCGUUGUCCGGAUUUACUGGGCGUAAAGGAUGCGUAGGCGGAUAUUUAAGUGAGAUGUGAAAUACUCGAGCUUAACUUGGGUGCUGCAUUUCAAACUGGAUAUCUAGAGUGCGGGAGAGGAGAAUGGAAUUCCUAGUGUAGCGGUGAAAUGCGUAGAGAUUAGGAAGAACACCAGUGGUGAAGGCGAUUCUCUGAACCGUAACUGACGCUGAGGCAUGAAAGCGUGGGUAGCAAACA